AACAGCAUCAGAGUAUGGAACAAAUGAAUUCCCAUUGAGGCAAACCUUCCCAAGGAAGGAUCUGGAGUUGGUAGCUGUGAUAUUAUUGUAGACGCAGACAUCAAGAGCAAGAUAGUGGAGGUUGGUUGGGUCAGAAAUGUUGAAGUAGAAACUUUCAUUCCAAACAGGACUGAGGUCUUUCUCCUUGAUGGUGGUACGGAACCUCUGGCCAUCGAAGUAGAGCUCCACAAAGGCACUUGAUGAACCUUGCCCAUCUUUUGGCAAAAGAUUGUGAGCACUAACCACAUCUACCCCUAGCUUAAGGUUGCUCAUGUUGAUAUCAAGCAGGUGGACUUCUUUAACAAAAUGUUAACUACCAGCAAGACAGAAGACAGUUAUACGUACCUUGGUUAUUCAGCGAAAAUUCUUCAGAUUGUAGCCAUUUUCAAGAGAUGAAGAGCUCUGCAUGAACAUAUCCCAUACAUCAUCUAUAUAAUUUAAUAACGUUAAAAAGAAAGGGUGCAUUUAAGUCUACAUAGAGAGAGCAUGUGUAUGUCAUGGCAGUGAAGGACGGGCACGACCAACGAGGAGAGAGAUAGAGAGAAGAAGCAUCAAUGCAGUUGGACUGUGACAGGGAAGCGAGAGAUAUGGGCCAUUUUUUAUAGAUACAAUGCUUUGCAAUUGGUGUCUCCGGUGCAGAUGCAGAGAGCAAAGCCGGGUUCUCUCUCUC
RNAcentral lists this unclassified non-coding RNA (709 nucleotides) under Hevea brasiliensis (rubber tree). The record is from RNAcentral. Lineage: Eukaryota; Viridiplantae; Streptophyta; Magnoliopsida; Malpighiales; Euphorbiaceae.